GCUCGACUCAAGUUUACUUGUGAAUCAUGUAAAAAUUUUUUUUCAGUAUUCACACUUAUUUUGGUCAAAAACUUUCUGAACUUAGUCUCAUGAAUCACAUAGGACUUCUUCUUUUCUAUUAAGAUCAAUAGAUUUUAUCUAAGUGUAUCCCACUCCUAACAGCGAAUCUGAAUCCACUGUAGCCAACAUACACAGCAAAGAUCCGAAUGGCUAGGGACUAAAGGAAUGUGC
This 231-nucleotide long non-coding RNA is filed under the name Elaeis guineensis (African oil palm). Its description in RNAcentral is "long non-coding RNA (EGUI_LNC023379)". Lineage: Eukaryota; Viridiplantae; Streptophyta; Magnoliopsida; Arecales; Arecaceae. The record is from RNAcentral.